GUUAGUGCCGAUCGUUGCCAAGCUACCGAUAUCAGCAAAACGACGCCAUUUUAUGCUGCCGCAUCUGCUGUCUCUUUGUUCUCAAUCUAUAACCUGCCUUGGAUUUUGAGCAUCGCUUGAGUUUUUAAACAUGCAGUCAAGUAGCUGUGUUCAAGAUUUUGGCAGUGAAGAAGAAACAGAAACCCUCCCAGCCGUCCUUCCUGAGAAGCACGAUGUCCCGUCCCGUGUCAUCCGAGUGGUCAAAAGCGCCUUCACCUCUAGCAAAAACGUUUAAUUAAAGCUUUCCUUGGAACAAGUUCCAGGAUAUUUUGUUGGGUUCAUGAACUUUUCAUCUUGUUAAUUAUUUCCAUAUGGUUUCAGUUGUAUGAAUAAAUGUUUUUGUUGUUCAAA
RNAcentral lists this long non-coding RNA (390 nucleotides) under Haliotis rufescens (red abalone). RNAcentral describes it as "uncharacterized LOC125380862, transcript variant X2". Lineage: Eukaryota; Metazoa; Mollusca; Gastropoda; Lepetellida; Haliotidae. The record is from RNAcentral.